UCCAAGCACAAAUAGCUUUCAGCUCCUUGCAGUUCAAUGUAAUAACUGGUGUUCUUUAACAAUUUUAUCAGUGACAUCGAUGAUGGAAUUGAGUGCACCCUCAGCAAGUUUGCUGACGACACCAAGCUGAGUGGCGUGGUUGAUACGGUGGAAGGAAGGGAUGCCAUUCAGAGGGACCUCGACAGGCUGGAAAGACCUCCUCAGACCCAUGCUGUGCCAGAGAAUAUGGGGUGUGAAGAGCAGAGAAGACAAAUGAACAGAGCAGGACUUUACAGAGGGACCAGGCUGAGCCCUGCGUCCUUCUAUAAUCCAAAGUUGGGAGAAAAAGCACUCUGCACCUGAGGACUCUUCUGGAGAGAAGGUUUUCUUCCCAACACGUGCAAGUGAAGCCCACUGGGAAAAUCCUCCUGUGGAGAAGACAAAUCCCCCUGGAAACAGGAAAGCUCUCCAGAAAUACUGCCUCUGAGUAAAAUAAAAUAUUCCUAAGAUCUAGCCUAGAUCUCCUCUCUUUUACUUCAAAGCCAUUCCUCCUUGUCCUGUCACCAUCAGACCAUGUAAGAAGAAAGGCAGAGCAGCUGCUAUGUCUUGCUCUGAGAGGUACCAGCUUCUACUGAAUGAGCUGUGGUGUGGUGGGAGAACAGAGCUGCCCUGAGGCACACAAGCCCUCUCCUGUCCUUUCCCAUCAUACAAGCAGCUUUGAUUUCAUCCUGAUGAGGAAAGGCCAAAGAAAGCACCAGCAAGUCACAACCAGGAACCAAAGAGGAAUUCCUGGACAUGGACAUUUCUAUCAAUGAUUAUUCCCUCUGGAGCAAGUAAUACUGAAAUCAUACAAGGAGAAAAGAAAAAAAAAAAAAGCAAUCCAGAGAUUAAGGGAAGUAAUAGAAGAGGUUAGGGAGUAAUCAGUUGCUUUCAGUCCAUCUGCAAGAAACCAUGAGCAAGGGGGACCCAGCCCACCAUGGUCAGUCCACAGCCAGGAGCAUAGAACUGAAGGAUAUGAACUGUAGACUUCUGAGCUGGAAGAGCUUAAUUUGAGCAGGGAGAAAAGGCCCAGCUGUAUUUGGAAAGAGCCUGAGGGAAUGUCCCAGCACACUGUGAUGGUGGAUGACUUCAGCUGUUGAGGUUGGGCAGGAUAAACCUUGGCAAGGUGAAAGCCAAGAGAAGGAGAGGAAUUUCAAGGUGAAACUGUUUUGCACACCAUUUCUAAGCUAGAGAAAGGUGCUUGGAAAUACCAAUCUCCAGCAAUGAAUAUUUCAAAGGGUAUUUCAAGAGAUGGUCAAGAGGUGUUUCAACAGUUACCAAGGCUUUCAGAAGGGAUUUUGUGGGCACAGGAGUAUUCUCCUCCUGUCCUUCUACCUCAACUAUGCAUCUACUCACGUAUCAACUUGUGGCCAUUUCUGUACUUUAAAUACUACUCUGUUUCACUCAGUCACAUGCAAAAAGACUCACUUCUUCUCAUGAGACAGCACCAUUAAUCUUCUGCCAGUGGACGAUGGCCCAGGAUAAAUAAUUUUCAUUUACUCCUUGAGUUUAUUGUUUGAACUUCACAAAAGAAGGAACUGCUACUGCUUCCUCUCUGAAGCUGUGCACCAUUUCAGACCAGAAAGGAUCUCAAGAUUUAGUACUUCAUUUCACAUGCUUUUCUGUUGAGCAAGCUAGAUGACAAACUGCAGAAUUCUUGCACAGUGGAAACAGACUUGUCUUGGAAAUUAUG
Molecule: long non-coding RNA, 1711 nt
Organism: Lagopus muta (rock ptarmigan)
Lineage: Eukaryota; Metazoa; Chordata; Aves; Galliformes; Phasianidae
Exons: 3
Source: RefSeq, a predicted model, not a curated record